CCUACGGGAGGCAGCAGUGGGGAAUAUUGCACAAUGGGGGAAACCCUGAUGCAGCGACGCCGCGUGAGUGAAGAAGUAAUUCGUUAUGUAAAGCUCUAUCAGCAGGGAAGAAAAUGACGGUACCUGAGUAAGAAGCCCCGGCUAACUACGUGCCAGCAGCCGCGGUAAUACGUAGGGGGCAAGCGUUAUCCGGAUGUACUGGGUGUAAAGGGAGCGUAGACGGCAGUGCAAGUCUGGAGUGAAAGGCGGGGGCGCAACCCCCGGACUGCUCUGGAAACUGUACGGCUGGAGUGCAGGAGAGGUAAGUGGAAGUCCUAGUGUAGCGGUGAAAUGCGUAGAUAUUAGGAGGAACACCAGUGGCGAAGGCGGCUUACUGGACUGUAACUGACGUUGAGGCUCGAAAGCGUGGGGAGCAAACAGGAUUAGAGACCCCUGUAGUC
RNAcentral lists this ribosomal RNA (440 nucleotides) under uncultured bacterium. RNAcentral describes it as "partial 16S ribosomal RNA". It matches the Rfam family "Bacterial small subunit ribosomal RNA", at positions 338 to 795 of the family's 1533-position model. The record is from RNAcentral.